Molecule: ribosomal RNA, 939 nt
Filed under: Triticum aestivum (bread wheat)
Lineage: Eukaryota; Viridiplantae; Streptophyta; Magnoliopsida; Poales; Poaceae
Description: partial small subunit ribosomal RNA
Source: RNAcentral
AUGGAGGCGGCUCUAGUGACUGUGGCGACGGGGGUCCUCAAACCUGUCCUCAGGAAGCUGGCCACCCUGCUCGGCGACGAGUACAAGCGUUUUAAGGGUGUGCGCAAGGAGAUCGGGUCUCUCACUCGUGAACUCGCCGCCAUGGAGGCUUUUAUCCUCAAGAUGUCGGAGGAGGAGGAGGAUCCCGAUGUGCAGGGUAAAGUCUGGAUGACUGAGGUGCGGGAAUUGUCCUAUGAUCUGGAGGAUGCCAUCGAUGACUUCAUGCAAAGUGUUGGUGACAAAGACGAAAAGCCAGAUGGCUUCAUUGAGAAGAUCAAGAGCUCGCUAGGGAAGUUGGGGAAGAUGAAGGCUCGCCACCAAAUCGGCAAGGAGAUUCAGGAUCUGAAGAAACAGAUCAUUGAGGUGGGCGAUAGGAACGCAAGGUACAAGGGUCGUGAGACCUUCUCCAAUACCAAAAAUGCGACCGUUGACCCUAGAGCUCUUGCUGUAUUUGAGCAUGCAUCGAAGCUUGUUGGAAUCGAUGAACCCAGGGCUGAGUUGAUCAAGUUGUUAACUGACGAGGAUGGAGUUGCAUCAACACAACAACACGUGAAGAUGGUCUCCAUUGUUGGAUCGGGAGGAAUGGGCAAAACAACUCUUGCAAACCAAGUGUAUCAAGAGCUAAAAGAGAAAUUCAAGUGUAAGGCUUUCAUAUCUGUGUCACGAAAUCCAGAUAUGACGAAUAUCUUGAGAACCAUUCUCAGUGAAGUCAGUGGCCAAGCUUAUGCUAGCACAAAAGCAGGGACUAUACAACAACUCAUCGGCAAGAUCACCAAUGUUCUAGCACACAAAAGAUCUGGUGGUUGCCAUCGAUGGCUUGUACAGGCGAUGUUUUCGGAUGCAACAGGAAGGCUCCGUUCUGGCAGUGAGAUGCAAUCUAUGGACAACAGCUUGAUGUAG